CCCAGACUCCUACGGGAGGCAGCAGUGAGGAAUAUUGGUCAAUGGGCGGGAGCCUGAACCAGCCAAGUCGCGUGAGGGAAGACGGUCCUAUGGAUUGUAAACCUCUUUAGGCGGGGAGCAAUGCCGGGCACGCGUGUCCGGAGGGAGAGUACCCGCAGAAUAAGCAUCGGCUAACUCCGUGCCAGCAGCCGCGGUAAUACGGAGGAUGCGAGCGUUAUCCGGAUUUAUUGGGUUUAAAGGGUGCGCAGGCGGCGCGGCAAGCCGGCGGUCAAAUCGCGGGGCUCAACCCCGCCCAGCCGUCGGAACUGCCGGGCUAGAGUGGGCGAGAAGUGCGCGGAAUGCGUGGUGUAGCGGUGAAAUGCAUAGAUAUCACGCAGAACCCCGAUUGCGAAGGCAGCCUUCCGGCGCCCUACUGACGCUGAGGCACGAAAGUGCGGGGAUCGAACAGGAUUAGAUACCCUAGUAAA
This 467-nucleotide ribosomal RNA is filed under the name uncultured bacterium. RNAcentral's name for it is "bacterial SSU rRNA". It matches the Rfam family "Bacterial small subunit ribosomal RNA", at positions 330 to 794 of the family's 1533-position model. The record is from RNAcentral.